UCGGCGCCAGUCAUUUGACUGUGCCAAGCAUAACCAAAAAAUGUUGGCGCGUGCCACUUAGUGUAGUUUGUGAAGUGCAACGGAUGCCACGCUGUUAAAGGGGUUGGAAGGCGGGGCCUUCACAACAAUUUUUGAAGAACUAAACAUCACCAAAAGAGCGAUGGAAUGCCUUCAGAUGGAUCAAAUAAGGCAUCACAUACCUAAAGAGCUGUUUGGCCAAGUAGUGGACGUGUCUAAAAUUUUGUUAGAGUCAAAGAACUCGAAACACAUUUUUAAACAUUACUGUAAGGAGCGAACAUUGACACUCAAACUAAGAAAGCUAAGCAGUGCAAUUGUUGCUGAACACUUAGUUUCAGUGAACAUUAAGAUUUCACAACAAAUGUUUUCCGAUGUCGCUGAGCAAAUAAUCGGCUUGUUUGACACAGAAAUAAAGGUAGAAUCAGACUUCGCUCGAUCAUUCCCAGGCAAGGAUAAACUACUCGUGGAUAACUGGGGUUAUUUUAAAACAAAACUCUGCAAGGGUAUAAAAAUAUCCCCAAUAUUUAAAACCAACAUAUCGAGCAAAAAUUGUUGUGCUUUCUUACAAAAGUCGAAUGAGGAGUCAAGUGGUUAGUCCAAAUUUAUAUAUUUAUCAAGAAAGAAAGAACACUUGGACGUGAAGGACGCUUUUUGCUGCCAGCCCUGUUGGAACCUUCUGCGCGAGGAAGAAAAAGUCAGGGAACCCAGAGCAAAAACUAUACUAUUGAAGAUGGAAGGAACGCAUUUUUCACCUGGAAGCAGACUCUUUCAAAGCCAAAUACAUUUACCAAUAUUGAAGUCGACUAAGCCUUCAAUUUAAUGAAAAGGUGUCAACCAAAAAUCUGUUGUAUUGGUGAUUCUCCGUACAUCUUAACCCAGUUUUUUGUACACGUCUCUGGAGUAUACUACGGGUUCAAGAAUAUUUUGGUAUGCAUUAAUGCAUGCUUCCAAAUAUUUCAAGUUCUUAAUAUUGAAUGCCCCGAGGAAGCAUCCCUGAUAUGGACCUUUAUACAAAAUUAUUUUUUUAAGAUAAUUCUCAAGAACGAUAUUAAAAACAGGUCGGUAUCAGAACUUUUAAACGAUCUUAAAAGUUAAUUACUUACAUACGUAUACUUGUAUUAUAAUAUUGUCCUGCCAUGCAAAUUUUAUUCAGCAUAUACUUAUAAUUUUUACAAUUAAUUUGCUUAUAAACCAAAGUAACAUAAAAGAUAAACCUAAAAAACCUAUACCUACAUUACAAUGUGAUCUUGUCAUGCAAUUUGAAUUCAGCAUACACUUAUAAUUUUGUACAU
Long non-coding RNA from Drosophila gunungcola (fruit fly), 1310 nucleotides. RefSeq lists it as uncharacterized. The record is from RefSeq and is a predicted model, not a curated record. Lineage: Eukaryota; Metazoa; Arthropoda; Insecta; Diptera; Drosophilidae. The transcript has 5 exons.